This is a long non-coding RNA of Tachyglossus aculeatus (Australian echidna), 656 nucleotides long. RefSeq lists it as uncharacterized. The record is from RefSeq and is a predicted model, not a curated record. The transcript is spliced from 5 exons. NCBI's taxonomy places the organism in Eukaryota, Metazoa, Chordata, Mammalia, Monotremata, Tachyglossidae.
ACGAGGGCCGCCUCAGGCUGCUCUGUGAGGACCACGAUGAUCCACAUCGUGUUUGCAAAAAUAUCUCCAUUUUUCGCCCACAUUUAUGGCCCGGAUUUGCCUCCCUCGCUCUUGAACUCCAGCCUUCCUUUGGGGGCAGGCUGCGGAACCCGGGACGCACCCUUUAUUCGGAUGCCCGACUAAUGACUAUAUGAAGCUGAAGGUAUGUGUGGAGCCUUGGAAUCCGAAUGAGAGAAGAAAAAAGUACUUGAAAAGUGAAAACAAGAAAAUUAUCCAAGUCCUGAGAGUGUAGGCAGGAGAGCGCUCUCCACUGAACAACAAUGGCGCUUCCAAACAAGACGACUCUGCAAAAACAGGAGUCCAGAUUUGGUGAGCUGCUGUCUACACUGACGGACCGACUUCCCCCAGUUUUACGCUUGGACAUGUAACAUAAGGCACAUCAUUAACGUGCACACGUCUCCCGUUGAUUGAUGGUUCACCAGCAUCACAGCUUCAUCAUCUAAAAUUGCCUUUACAUCUUCGCCCCACUCCAUUACUGGAAGAAAAAAUAAUCAACUGUUAUUAAUGGAAGGAUUUUCAUCCUAGAUUAAGCUAGAGUAAAUAUGUAUUUAUAUAUAUAGCAGCCAAUAUCUAAUUACAAGAACUUAUUUACUGGG